RNAcentral lists this ribosomal RNA (477 nucleotides) under uncultured bacterium. RNAcentral's name for it is "partial 16S ribosomal RNA". It matches the Rfam family "Bacterial small subunit ribosomal RNA", at positions 28 to 507 of the family's 1533-position model. The record is from RNAcentral.
GAUUAACGCUGGCGGCGUGCAUAACACAUGCCAGUCGAACGAUGAAACUUAAAUGAUUUCUUCGGAAUGAACUUAAGUGGAUUAGUGGCGGACGGGUGAGUAACGCGUGAGUAACCUGCCUUACACAAGGGGAUAGCCGUUGGAAACGACGAAUAAUACCCUAUGAAACUAUCACUUCGCAUGAAGCGAUAGUCAAAGUGUUAGCGGUGUAAGAUGGACUUGCGUCUGAUUAGCUAGUUGGUGAGAAAAAAGCCCACCAAGGCAACGAUCAGUAGCCGGCUUGAGAGAGUGUACGGCAACAUUGGGACUGAGACACGGCCCAGACUCCUACGGGAGGCAGCAGUGGGGAAUUUUGCACAAUGGGGGAAACCCUGAUGCAGCGACGCCGCGUGAUUUAGAAGGCCUUCGGGUUGUAAAAAUCUUUUGUAUAGGAAGAAAAUGACAGUACUAUACGAAUAAGGUCCGGCUAAUUACGUG